UACGUAGGGGGCAAGCGUUGUCCGGAUUUAUUGGGCGUAAAGAGCGCGUAGGCGGCUCGUUAAGUGUGAAGUGAAAUCUCCAGGGCUCAACCCGGAAACUGCUUCGCAUACUGGCGAGCUGGAGUGACGAAGAGGUUUGUGGAAUUCCUGGUGUAGCGGUGAAAUGCGUUGAUAUCAGGAGGAACACCGAUGGCGAAGGCAGCAAACUGGUCGUCAACUGACGCUGAGGCGCGAAAGCGUGGGUAGCAAACAGG
Molecule: ribosomal RNA, 254 nt
Filed under: uncultured bacterium
Lineage: Bacteria
Description: partial 16S ribosomal RNA
Rfam family: Bacterial small subunit ribosomal RNA
Source: RNAcentral